UGGUGACAAAUCAGUAAAGGAAUAGAUUGUCCAUUAUAUGUUCCUAAUUAAUAUAACACAUAUAACAUCUCUCCCCCCCCCACUGUAGCACAGAAAGAAAACAAUUUCAUAAAAGACUUGCAAAGCCUAUGCACAAGAACUGUAACAAACGUUGAUGAAAAGCACCCAACUUUUAAAUGAAGUUUACCAGAGAGAGAGAGAGAGAGGUUUGCCUGUCAAGGAGCCAUGAAGUGGUAUAGUCAAGCAAUUCUGAUGAGUAAAGACAUACAAAUUUCAUGCAAUUUGCACAAGACCCUAGAUUUCACACAUCUCACUUGUACUUUCCAAGGGUUUGCAUACUGACGGGGAGGGGAGAACAGGGGAUGUGAGUCAGAUCAUGAAGGCCCUCAUGGGGUAUCCAGAGGUGUUGAGGUGUGACUCAGCAGGCAAGAUGGGCACCUAUUGCCAAUCAAGACAAACUGCAGGCUACUGCAGUUUUAGAAACAUCCAGAUCAGUUACUUCACCUGCAGUUAAGAUGCACUAUUCGCAGGCAGGCUGUGAUGCACUAUUAUUUGUCCAUAUCGGAUUUGGUUAACAUAAUGAACUUAAGGUGCCAGCCUGAACACAGCCUAUAAAUCCUGUGAAGAAACAUAAAAACUACUGUGCUGUCCAGAACCAUUCCUCUGAUUGUUGUCUAGAAUAACUAUUUUUAUAUGUAGAAUCUUGACCUUAACUAAUGUUUUUCAUUUCAGUCCGUGACAAAGCAGAGAGGUAAACAGAACUGAUCCGCUUAGUAGAGUUUUUCAGGAAUCUCGUGAAGCAUCAGAACCUUGGGGACCCACAGGCAUGUUCAUAAGGACCCAUGCAUUUCUCAGGUGGGAACUGGCAAGACUGGGUAGUCACAACCGGACUUGUCUCCCCAGUCUCUUCUUUUUCCUCUUCUCUAGGAACGAAGGAACGAAGGAAGGAAAGAGAAGGUGGGAGGGAGAGAGGGAGACAGACAAAAAGAAAAACAGAAAGAGAGAAAGACAGGAAGGAAGGGAGGGAGGGAGGAGGAAGAAGUCAGCAUAUCUUUGUUGACCAUCUGGGAUUGUACCCACUAUUUGGGGGACGAAGGCAGAGGUAUAAUCCAUGAUUGCUUCCCUGGAGGAAUUUAUACUCUGACUCAGUAUAGAGCUUCUCAACCCUGUUCUUUCAUUAGAAUCACAUAGGGAACAUUUUUUAAAUGCCAAUGAAUAUGUGUUCUUGGUACAUUGAGCUUUACAUGAGAUCAAUUAAAGAAAACUUCUUAUCUGGGAAUCUCUAUUUUUAAACAUCUGUCCAGGUGGCUCUGAUAUGUGGCAAUGUUGGGACACACUACAGGGUCAACUAGGAUGAGGUAAAAAGGACGAGUGAGACUGAGUAGAAAGAUAAAAAGAAAAGGAAAUCAAUACGGGAUGAAAGCACUGGGAAAGAUUGUGAGGAUAGGGUAAGGUCUAGAAAGGUGGGCACAGUGAUGAGGAAUGCCACCUGUCCUUCUGGUAGCCCUGAAAUAUUUUGCUAUAUCCAGAAGAAUAUUUCUGAUAUUGUUCCAGUAGCCAUUCACAGAAGGAAAUUGAUAGCAGAGGCUGAAAUAGUGAUGUUCAGACCACAGCGAAACCCUGGAGAGUAUAGAGGAACAAAACAGUAUUUCUCCAUGUGGAGAUCACUGUAAAUAGUAGCAUGGAAGUCGCAUGUGAUGAUGAAGGGUGAGUAAAAAACUUUCCAAAAGAAGAAGGGUCAGACUGCAAAGUAGAAGUAAACAAGCGUAUAGAGAUCUGGUCUCCCAAGACCUUGAGUGCCAGGCUGAGGUUUACGGGUUUUCUUGUACCUUGCCUCUUACGUGGAGUAAUUGUGUAUAGGAACAGUGACAGGGUGAAGCAGGAGGCCUAAAUGCUAGAGGGGUAUUUUCUAGAAGGCCAUAACGAUGGUCCAAAUGGGGACUAGUGUGAGCCCACACGGAGUGAAUGAAGGACAAGUCUGUGUACAGCUUACAUUAUAACAGAUCUUGGAGACCAAAUUGGAGAGAAAGCCCAAGGUCUUCAACCCUGAUUGCAGCACUCUAUGUUCAACGAGACAACAUUGAGUCAGAAUAUUAGCACCAGUCGAAUGGUCUGGGGAAGGGUCGUAAAAAAGAAUGAGAGUUUAUACUGGUUCUUCAGAUUGUCCAUGGGAUUUAAAUCCUCUACAGAACACUAACAUCUACUACAUCAGAAUAUCUUAAGACAGCCAUGGGUUUCUAGGGUUUUUUGGCAAAGCAACCCAAGAGUAUUUUAUAUUAUCCUCCACUGACCACAAAUGAAAAUCACUGAAUUAAAUAUAGAGGGAAAAGGAGCGCCUGGGUGGCUCAGUCAGUUAAGUGUCCGACUUCGGCUCAGGUCAUGAUCUCUCAGUCCAUGGGUGCGAGCCCUGCAUCGGGCUCUGUGCUGACAGCUCGGACCCUGGGGUCUGCUUCAGAUUCCGUGUCUUUCUCCCUAUAUUUCCUCCACUCAUUCUCUCUGUCUCUCUCAAAAAUAAACAAACAUUUUAAAAUUUUAAUAAAUAAAUAAUAAAUAAAGAGGGAAUGGCAGCAAGUAUUCUGCAGUCGACACCAAAAUAAAUUAAGCUGGUAGCAGGAUUGAAUUCUCAAUUGGUCUUCAAAGUUGCUAUCACGUAUAUGACACAUUUUGGUGUUUAAAACCUAUAAUUUAAAAAUAAUUCAACACGUGUUUUAGUAUUGAAAUUAAAACUAAAAAUUAAGUCAUUAUGGAAUCUGUGAACAAUAUUCGAAAAUCUUUUAAUACGAUGGAGCCCUCUCAUUUCCAGGCAGAAUUAAGGGCAGAGACUUUAAGUGCCCAAAGUCGCAAAGCUAAUGGGUGAGAUCCAGAGACCUGAGCCUUGUUCUCAGAUUACCUCUCCACAUCAAGUUCCUUUCUCCACUAAACCAGAAGGAAAAAUACUAGGGCCUGUUAGCUAAAAUUCCAGCUACUUUUUCUUGCUCUGAUAUAUUUAAGUCUAGCCCAAACAAUCUCUGGAGGUAGAGAAAAAGGAGCAUAUUGUUUUCUCAUGACUACUGUAACAAAUUACCACAAGCUUGGUGACUCGAAACAACAGAAGUUUAUUUUGUUAUGGCGCCCAGCCAAACUCUACAAAUGUGUAGCAGCACAGCAGAAAUUGUUACCCUGAAACUAGUAAGUCUCUUGGAACUUGAUGGAGACAUGAAUGUUAUUAACAAACAUGGAUGAUAGCCAUAAAGGAUACAGCAUCUAAACUAUCACGUCUCAGCUGAUGACGGUGGACCCAAUCGUGAAGCAGAAUGUUGUCUGAUAACAACCCUGCACCAAGCAGUAUAUCUGUCUGGAACUUAGUAAAUCUUAAUUCAGAGAACCAUAAAAAGCAGAGGCGGGCUGGGUAAAAGUUUACUUUGGCACUAUCUAGAAAAAAGAGUUUGCUCAGUGUAUUAAAAGAAUAAAUAGGACUGAAAGAAAAUAAACUUUUCAAGAACCUAGCAGCCCCAUUUUGCAGUUACCCGCAGUCAACCAGGGUCUGGAAACAGAUGAUUCUCCUUCUGACAUAAGGUCAGAAGGUCAAUAGUAGCCUAACGCUCUGUCACGGUGCCUACGUCAUUCGCGUCACUUCACCUCAUCACGCAGGCAUUUUAUCAUCUCACAUCGUCACAAGAAGAAAGACAUCCACUGGGGAUCUUGGAUAACCCUUCCAUUGGAUAAUGGAAGGAUGAUUGCACUACCACUGUUUCGUUGUUCACAUCGUUCUAGCUUUUGCUAUGGUGCUAUGGGCAACUCUUUAAGAUGAAGAAGAGAUUCUGCCUCAAGAUGGCAGCAUCAAUUCCCGCCUGAGUUUCCAGACUGCUGGCCCACCCUACAGGUCUCAGACUUGGGAGUCCCGUGAUCACGUGAGCUAUGUACAAUCACAUACACCUGUGUGUAUGCCUGUGUAUGCACAUGUGUGUGCAUGUAUGCAUGUGAGUAUAUGUAUCUAUCUAUAUAUGUAUAUAUAAAAUCAGUGUACACAUAUAGAAUCUCCUAUUGGCCCUGUUUCUAUAGAAAACGCUGACUCUUACAAACAGCAAAGAAAAGAACUCUGCUUUAUACCUAAAUUAGCUUUGUACUUAAGUUAGCUCAUUGAGCAAUGUUCGAAUUGAAUUUUUUAAUGUUUCUUUAUUAUUUUUGAGAGAGAGACAGAGAGAGAGAGAGCAUUCAGGGGAGGGGCAGAGACAGAGGGAAACAGGAUUUGAAGUGGGCUCAUAUUGACUCAUUGAACAGGUUUCAUUUCUUCAAAGUGUUAGGAAAUAUAGACACACAUAUUAAUUGUUAGCAUAAAAUAUUUUUGUAAGGGUCAUGGAAAAAUGAGUAUAAAGGUUAAUUUUACCUAAUUAAACCUUUAGCAAUGUAUAAUUUUAUAUAUUUUCUUGGUCUGAUGAGCAGGCACCUAGUUAGAUAUGGUAAUAUAUCCCAAAGAUAGGAUUUGGGUGCCUAAGUCAGGGCUUCAAUAAAUAUUUAAAUAUGAAUAUUAAUCAGUGAGAUUGGUGAUUUCCUCUUGACGACAAACAAUACAGUGAGUUAUUUCCUCUCUUCCCUUUGACUGUGUCUCUUCUCUCCUUAAAAGACACAAGUCACCUCUAAAUUUUUAGUAAAUAUGCUAUGAUUGAAGAAUCCAUGUGGUACCAAGGAACUUAUGUUUAUGUGUAGAAAUAUCUUAAUAUUACACAUAGUAAACCCCUUUUACACUGAUACAUUAUUCUCACAGCUAAUUUCAGGGCUCCACUGAAAUUUUUUUUUAACGUUAAUUUAUUUUUGAGACUGAGAGAGACAGAGCAUGAACGGGGGAGGGGCAGAGAGAGAGGGAGACACAGAAUCGGAAGCAGGCUCCAGGCUCUGAGCCAUCAGCCCAGAGCCCGACACGGGGCUCGAACUCACGGACCGCGAGAUCGUGACCCGAGCUGAAGUCGGACGCCUAACCGACUGAGCCACCCAGGAGCCCCUCCACUGAAAAAUUUAAGAAGUUUAAAGCUCAACCCAACAUGGACAAAUCAGUAAAGAAAAAAACCUUGAUUUUUGAAACCAUAGAGUGAGUAUACACAUUGAAAGUGACUUCCCUGAAAUGUACAAGGCUGUUCCGCAGGGGUAUCUCCAUCAGUUCUCUUUGCCUACAUGCCUUUGUUCCUAUUUUAAGGUCACAUCUGAGCUGAAAAUGGUAGUGAGAGUUGGUGCAGCAGAAGUGAAUGUGAAAGAAAUUCGCAAUAGCUGUUGUCACAUGUGCUGCAGAAAGUUUAUGAUGCAGGAGUUCACCUCUCUUGAAGCUGUAAGUAACAGGAGCCUGGUGCUCUCAUAGCCAGUGGACAUAGCUUACUGGGUAUUAUCAGAAAAUCCAGCUGGAAAAUUGUUAAAAGAAAGGCCUCCUACCAGUAUCCUUGGUUGUCAGACUACUUACUGAAAAUAAAUACAAUUAAAUAUAUAGGACAUGGAAAGAGAAGUCAUGCAUGAAUGAAAUUCUCAUUUAUGGUGUCUGUUUUUAGAAAUCCUACCCGGGUGUUCUCUCUUGUUCUCAUUUAAAUUCUAGUAUUGAACAGCACUAUGGAAUGAAUGGCAAUGUUUUGGCUCCACUGGAAUCCUGGGGUGUUCCUUGAGGUUCUCCUACACUGGCUUAUUCUAAAACGUCUCCAGCCCUGUGUGAACUCCAGUGUUGUUGAGCUCGCGAUUCCCUGUAGUUUGUUCUCUGUAGAUGUACUUCAUCAGGCUUCACAGAGACUUGACCUAUGAAUACAAAGCUUGUAUUUUAGACGAAACUCAAAGAAACUCAAAGGGACACAGACCAGUUUCUGCAACUAUUUCUCAGCAAGUUCUCUUAUCUCUUAUGAUCUUGUUUUGCAAAUUCCAGCUACUCUAUCAUCUCUUACUUUCAUAUCUGUCUUCUGACCUCAGCAAAGCCACUGUCUUAUUGUGGUCCCUCCCACCUAUGCAGCCAUCAGGAAGUGUCCAACAGAGAGAGAUUUCAUGAUCCUGGGGCCUACUUUGCUUGAGUUCAUUAUCUUGGGAAUCAUAAAUCUGCACUGCCGGUUUUCCAACAUUUGGUAUACUUUCUUCAGUUAUGUAAUUGUUUUUGGCAAAAGCCUGAACCAUUACGAGCUACUCUGUCAUAGCCAGAAGUAGGAUUCUCUUACAACAUGUUUUAUGUUUGUGUCUUGCCUUGGGAGUAACUAGAACAUCCAGUUAGUAUAAAUUUAAAUUUCAACCUGGAAAUAAUUCAAUUUGCCUCCUACAGUCUCAACCAAAACAUGAUAUCUAUCUUCUCCUUUCCUGUGUUAACUGGAAUAUUAUUUCUAGACUAUUCUUUCACUGAACAUGUAACUCUUUCAGUAGGUGAGGUCUUUUUUUUUUUUUUUUUUCAUUAGUUGAUGAGGGCUAAAACCUAUAUCCUUAGAUUAUACAUGUGGAUUUCCCUUCCAUGAUAGUUUCAUCACAUAGUUACCUGCUGUGAUUAAGUUUCCUCCUCAUUUCUGGUCCCUCAUUGUACUUUGAGUUGAGUUUAUAUUUAAAAGA
Molecule: long non-coding RNA, 6537 nt
Organism: Acinonyx jubatus (cheetah)
Lineage: Eukaryota; Metazoa; Chordata; Mammalia; Carnivora; Felidae
Exons: 4
Source: RefSeq, a predicted model, not a curated record